This 426-nucleotide ribosomal RNA is filed under the name uncultured beta proteobacterium. RNAcentral describes it as "bacterial SSU rRNA". It matches the Rfam family "Bacterial small subunit ribosomal RNA", at positions 356 to 774 of the family's 1533-position model. Lineage: Bacteria; Pseudomonadati; Pseudomonadota; Betaproteobacteria. The record is from RNAcentral.
UGGGCGUAUUCCACAAUGGGGGAAACUCUGUUGCAGCCAUUUCGCUUGUUUGAAGAAGGCCUGCGGGUUGUAAAUCACUUUCAGGCAGUAGGAAGUUUGUGUAUCUAAUAUCUGUUCUACUUGACUUUACUGACAGAAGAGGCACCGGCUAAUCCGGUGCCAGCAGCCGCGGUAAUACGUAGGGUGCGAGCGUUAAUCGGAAUUACUGGGCGUAAAGCGUGCGCAGGCGGUUGAUUAAGACAGGCGUGAAAUCCCCGGGCUUAACCUGGGAACUGCGCUUGUGACUGGUCGGCUAGAGUACGGCAGAGGGGGGUGGAAUUCCACGUGUAGCAGUGAAAUGCGUAGAGAUGUGGAGGAACACCGAUGGCGAAGGCAGCCCCCUGGGCCUGUACUGACGCUCAUGCACGAAAGCGUGGGGAGCAAACA